CCAGCCUUGACCCAUGGCAAUUUUCUGAAGCUGUUAAUUCCAAGCAGGAGCCUAAAAUGGUACCUUUCUACAGUCUGUUGGCCAUUUCAGAGCUUUAAAAAUGCAAUGGUCAAUUCAUUAGAAGGCAACAACU
Molecule: small nucleolar RNA, 133 nt
Organism: Cavia aperea (Brazilian guinea pig)
Lineage: Eukaryota; Metazoa; Chordata; Mammalia; Rodentia; Caviidae
Source: Ensembl